AUGAUCCAUGAUCAGUACCUGAAGGGAGAUUUCUCUCUCACCAUCUCUGACGCUGAUUACAGUAUGAUGGGCACGUACACAUGUGAGUGCGGUAAUUCUGAACUCUGUGAUGUGCGGCUUCAGGUUGAGGAAACACCAGAGGCAGGGAACAAUAUUUCUGGCAGCAGUCAUACUAAAGGAACGUCCCACGUGUAUGUGUCAGCUGUUCCUCUAGUGAAGGUGAAGCUUCAUGACUCUGCUACUCUGCCCUGCUCUGAGACAUGUUCUGGUUUGGUCAGAUGGACUGAGUUCCAUAAUCCCACUGAUGUUCUGGCUGAGUGUGAUCAGACUUCAUGUAGAUCAGUGAAGGAGGGAUAUCAGAUGAUCCAUGAUCAGUACCUGAAGGGAGAUCUCUCUCUCACCAUCACUGACGCUGAUUACAGUAUGAUGGGCACGUACACAUGUGAGUGCGGUAAUUCUGAACUCUGUGAUGUGCGGCUUCAGGUUGAGGAAACACCAGAGGCAGGGAACAAUAUUUCUGGCAGCAGUCAUACUAAAGGAACGUCCCACGUGUAUGUGUCAGCUGUUCCUCUAGUGAGGGUGAAGCUUCAUGACUCUGCUACUCUGCCCUGCUCUGAGACAUGUUCUGGUUUGGUCAGAUGGACUGAGUUCCAUAAUCCCACUGAUGUUCUGGCUGAGUGUGAUCAGACCUCAUGUAGAUCAGUGAAGGAGGGAUAUCAGAUGAUCCAUGAUCAGUACCUGAAGGGAGAUUUCUCUCUCACCAUCACUGACGCUGAUUACAGUAUGAUGGGCACGUACACAUGUGAGUGCGGUAAUUCUGAACUCUGUGAUGUGCGGCUUCAGGUUGAGGAAACACCAGAGGCAGGGAACAAUAUUUCUGGCAGCAGUCAUACUAAAGGAACGUCCCACGGUAAGAUCUGUCCAGUUACAAAACACUAGCAGGGCCAGUUCUAGCAUUUUUGGGAGGCCUAGGCAGGUUUUUUUUUUUUUUUUGUGGGGGGGGGGGGGCGGGGGUAUCUUGCUUGCUGAUGCACUGUAAAAGUGGAAGCUAACUCAUAACAACGAUUACCACCAGCUGUGUAAAUUACGUACAUUUGUAAGUAGCUAAUUGUGUAAUUCUGAUUACUGGAUGCUAGUUUGGGGUUUUAAUAUGUUACCAUUUAAAUUACAGCUAACCUUCUAAAGAUUUAGAGCCAGUAAUUCUCAGUCUGUAAACAGUUUUACAGCCCAUCUUGUUUGCUGAACUGUAUUCUAAUCGUGUUGUUGUCCACUUGCUCAGGAUCAGUACAGCAGGUUGGGAAUCUGGUGUGGUUCUGUGGCCACUUUUCUUCAGUAUCUGAUUAAACGGACCUAAUUUCAAAUACUAUCUCAUAAAAGUCAUCUAACGUGUCAGUUUUAUGUUUUUCAUUGUACUAAAGUGGAAACUUAGUAACCUAAUAAUUACCUGCAGCGUAAAGACACUUCAAAU
This is a long non-coding RNA of Pygocentrus nattereri (red-bellied piranha), 1468 nucleotides long. Lineage: Eukaryota; Metazoa; Chordata; Actinopteri; Characiformes; Serrasalmidae. The record is from Ensembl.